Long non-coding RNA from Pseudomyrmex gracilis, 4696 nucleotides. RefSeq lists it as uncharacterized. NCBI's taxonomy places the organism in Eukaryota, Metazoa, Arthropoda, Insecta, Hymenoptera, Formicidae. The record is from RefSeq and is a predicted model, not a curated record. The transcript is spliced from 3 exons.
GCAUUCCGUGACUCGACCUUGCAAAUCGACCAAUCGCGUUCUAAUGAUUUCAGCGAAUCGUUCCACAACGUGAUUGGAUCGUUGUGCAAUCGAAGUAAACGCGUGAUUGUUGCGAUCGGUCUCUUAUCGGUAACAAUUGACAAGUGAAAUCUAUUCAAACAGGUUCUAGGCGAUGAAAGGAGUCAGCUGAUAUUGUUGUUCUUUGAAAAAGUGCGUACGAGUAUAUAGUGCAAUUAACGUAUCUUUAGGUUAUGGGGAGAGCAUGUUGUGUUUUGGGUUGCUCGUCGGGAGGGGAUGCUCCGUCCCAUUUGAUUCCCAAGAACCCGGUUCUCUUUCAGAAAUGGAAGAAUCAAAUUUAUUCUUCGAAGCUUCAACAUUUGACUGACGAACAAAUAAGCAAGCGUGCGGUCUGUUACCGACAUUUCGCCCAUGACGAUUACUUGGUAACGUUUAGAGCGAGAAAAUUGAAACGCGGCGUCGUGCCCUCUUUAAAUCUGCCAAACAAGUCAGCUACCGACAAGCCAAAUAUAAAAGCUUAUACGAAGCGAGAUAUAGAAUUGAGAGAUACAAGCAUAAAUAUAUCCGCCGCAGAAUUAGAAGCGAACAAACAUCAAGAAAUCAUGAUAAGAGAAAGAACAGAUAGUGCAUUGUUAAAGGAUACUCCGGAGGAGACAAAAUCUUGUUUAUUUGAACAGCCAACACUUGAAUCCAUAUUAGACAAAUAUGUGAAACAAAAUUUUACAAAGAAAAGAUUCAAAUUUUACUAUAAAAAAAGAAUACUGAGAAGAAAACGAGCAAAACUAACGGAGGAGCAAUUGGUGUUGAUUCAGCAUAGAAGACAAGUUGAACAGUACGAGAAAACGCCAACUAUACAAAAGUUACUGUCCACUUUAACGUCCACCGAGGUAGCAUCUAUUAAAACCAGAAUACAAAGGUCGAAAUAUUCACCAAGAAUAUGUGUAAAAGUAUAUCACGAUAUGGCCAAGAGAAAAGCUCUUUAUCAGUCAUAAGGUGUAUCGUUGUUGGAUAAAUCUCAAUUGCUCGAAUCAAUGCGCAUUUUGUGCUUUAUACUAGGAGUACUUGCGAAGAUAAAAUUGCACGAUUUUGUCAACAGCAUGGCACAUCCAAAGACUGAUAAACAUAUUGCUUCCGUGAAGGUUUAUGUGUCGAGAGAUAACAAAGAGAGAUUUAAGAGUUUGCUAAAGCAAUGGUUAAUAACAAGCAUAUUGAUGUUGUAUGGCGAUAAAAUACAAUUACUCUUGUAUAUGUUUUCGGAACGUAAUGAAGUUCUAGCUUUUUUUUUGCAACACACACAAGAGCUUUGACUCUUCUCUACGCGGAGAUGCGCGAGAGGUGCGUCAAGUGCGACAACAGAUAUACAUAUCAGAUGCGAAAUAAUUGUCUGAACGUUGUUAAGUCGACAACGAUGAUUUUACUGUAUUUUUAAAAACAAAUAUACAUGAAAUAUACAUUUAUAAUUUUAUAUAUAAUUGGUAGAAGGACUGCAUUCUCUGUGAAUAAACCUCUGAAUAUCUAUCUCUUACUGCACUAACGACGUCACAAUAGAGAGUUACGAUAUCAUUCCUGAACACAUAAUUAUUUUUUUUUUCUUUUAUAAAGUGUUGUUCUGUUGAGCAUUUCACUUGUCGUAAACAAUUGUACUAUGCAAGAAUAAUUCUCUAUACGCUAACAACGAUUCUUUCUCUCUCACUUUUUCUCUCACGCGUUUGAGAAAAAACGCGCUAACAAAUAUUAUUUUACUCGCACGUUUAGUUUAGUUUUCCAGAAAAUGGGGAAUUUUAAAUCCGAUGAAAAAUAAAUUAAAGUACAAAUCAAGAGAGAGAUACGCGAUACAUACACACACAGAGCUCUACAACCCUAUGUUUAGGAUUCGGUUGCUCUGUGAGAGAAGUAUUCUCGAGCAUAACAAACAUGCAGAAAGUCUGACAGUUUUUAUUACACAUUACGUUGAAAAAUAUUUUCAUUUAGUCUUGUGUUACAUUUAUGUAUUAUAUAUAUAAUAUAUAUCUUUACAUAUUUUUUGUCGAUUUUUUAUUCUGGAGGUGCUGGAUGUAUAUUAAGGUAUUGUACUUCUUGUCUACGUCUAUAUAUAUGUAAAUAUAUGUAUACUACUUAAGAAAUUAGAAUUCAAAAAUGUGUUUGACACGCACACACACACACAUACAUAUGCACACACACUUCUGAUAUUUUAUCUUUCUUUCUUUCUCUCUCUCUCUCUUUCCGACUUCAAAGAGUUAUAAUGUUUGUCGUCUGUAAUAGAGAAAAAUAUACUUUCCCUUUAGUUUUUCAUAUAUAAUUUAUUAACUACGAUGUGUACAUUGACGUGUACGUAGCGUGUUUAUUGACAAUCUUAAGAACGUUUUCUUCACAUUUUUUUCUCCUUUUUCUUUUCUUUUAGAUCGAAUUCGAGAAAUAAUCGCGUUUUGAGAAUAAAAAGUAAAAAUAUAUUAGUUUUUCCAGAAAAUUGUUCGCAUUUUUCGAAUUAACAAUAUCAAAGAAAAGUUGUUUACUCGUCUUUAAAUCAUUUUUCAUUUUCUUCUCGUUGAUUCAGUCGACACGGUAUACACAGUUAAAAUCGAUCGUGAUAUUAUAUCGUGUGGUAGUGUGUUCCUUAAUUAAAACAACGGACGAAAGAGAAUCUCUGCAAACACGAGGGGACGAAUCGAGGAAAAAAAAAACUAUUUCUGAAACACAAACACGCACGAGUCUUCGGAGAAUAGGUGUGCGUGUGUGCAUAGAAAAAAGUGUCUAAAGGGAAAGUGCAGAAACGCGAGAAGAAAAUACAUUAUAAAUUCUAUUAUUGCAGUCUGACGGUUGCAUAUGUAGGCCUUGCAGUGUUAACGAGAGUUAAUUGAGUCCCGAAAAAUUAUGACGCGCUGAUCUUUGCAUCGCAUUUUACACAGACACGUCAAUUUAUCUCGAGGUUGCGAGUACAUCCUAAAAUAAUAAUUCACUAACGUGAGAGAGAGAAUACGGUAAAUAAAGGAGUUCGAAACUCAUCUGUACAUAAUGCUCAAACGCUUCUGCACGAAGCGGGACACGGUUUGUGCGUUAACAACACUUGUAAAAUCGAUAGAAACCGAAGUGUCUCUCGAUGCAGGCUGUUUGGACGAGAAGAGCUUCUAAGCGUCGAUCAACAUUACAAUGUACACUAAUUUGAUUGUAUGUCGCUUGGCACAAUGUCGAUCGACAAUCACACACACACACACACACAACACACACAUACACACGUUGUCACAUUCAGCAAUACGGCGAGCAUUAAAACCGAGUCGAGAAGUAAUUUGUAUUUGAUAUGUAAUGUGUGUGUAGUGAUAAAAUUCUUAAAAAUAUAGUUCCAACUAUAUAUAAAUCUCUCGCGAUUGUUAAAUUCCUUUUGAAAGCGUGUGUGCCAUCUUCUUGCAAUAAUAAUAACAGAGUGAAAUGGGAAAACGUUUCGUAGAAAUAUUUGAAUUUUCGGUGGAUUAUACAUCGUUUGUUAUACAUAUUGCCGAUGUUAAUAUGCAGCAGUGUUUGAAAGCGUGAUUAUCAAUGAUGAUAAUUGUCAUCGAAUGCAAAAAUUUUCUCGUCCAAACGCAGUUUUUUUCUACUUAAAAAUGGAAAAUGCGUAUACACACAUCUAUAUCUUGAUACGUGUAAAUGAUUGUCCAUGAUUGUCCAUAGUCCGUAGAAUAAUUACAUCUCUAUCAUUAAUUACGUCUCUCUUAUUCUUUUCUUUUUUGUGCUUGUUCGUUUUAGAGUUAAACACGAGAAAAGAGCCGAGAGCGAGUCCGCGAAUACGCGGGCUCGACGUCUCUUGACCGUUCCUUUUGUCUCUUCUUUCUUUUUUUUUUUUUUUUUUUAUUAUAUCAUACUUUCUCCAAGUGUAAUCGGGAUGUGCUUAACGUUAAGGACACUUAACUUUGUAUACAAUCUUAUGUAGUUAAAAUAGAGUGAUCGCACAAAUAUAAUCUUUGAAAUUGUAUAGACGCGAAUUGUGGUUUUCGGUGUGACCGAGAGAUCGAUAUAUCGCGACUCCGACGAAAUCCGAAUUUUCUCUUCUCGAAAAUUCCAUGAAAUUGAAAACGCGACGCGUCGAAUUGAAAAAAAAAAAAAGUGUAGAAAGUUAUUUUUACAUCGAAAAAUACUCUCGUAGGGUGUGUUUGUCUGUUUUUAAAUCGGUAAAUUAUUAUAGCCGUUAUUCUUCUCUCGCGCGUUUUAUUCGGACUCACCGAAAUCGAAAUGUCGCGAUCUGUGUUUUACGAUCGAUCGUUUAUCAAAACGAAUCGUGACCGAUCAGGCGAUUGCACAUUGAUAUUGUUGACUACAUAAAUUUUUAUACACAUAUAUCAUAUAUAUAUUUUUUUUUCUCGCCACCAACAGUACUGUUUAUUAGACAAAAUCUAUACGUUUUCUUGGUCUAUAUGUUACGUAUAUAUAUAUAUAUAUAUAUAUGUAUAUGAAAUAAUGGAACUUUUGACGCGCGCGAGAACAAUUGAUUUCAGUAAUCCAUGUCGAGGUAUAUGCUCAAAAGAGAGAAGAGGAAAGAGAGUUUAUAAAAUCUAUCCUUAAGUUUUUGUUUUCUUAGUGAUUGUGUUAGAGAUGUGGCAAUUGACGACUGCGACGUAACCGCGACACGUAAUGUGCACGUAUAAAUGUACAUAUACGUGCGCACACGCCGCGUGUUUAUACAUUAUAU